This 109-nucleotide ribosomal RNA is filed under the name Pteropus alecto (black flying fox). Lineage: Eukaryota; Metazoa; Chordata; Mammalia; Chiroptera; Pteropodidae. The record is from RNAcentral.
GUCUACGGGCAUGCUACCCUAAACAAGCCUGAUUUCGGAAGCUAAGCAGGGUCGGGCCUGAUUAGUACUUGGAUUGGAGACCACCUAGGAAGACCAGGUACCAUAGGUG